RNAcentral lists this long non-coding RNA (402 nucleotides) under Sorghum bicolor (sorghum). RNAcentral's name for it is "long non-coding RNA (SBIC_LNC005322)". The record is from RNAcentral. Lineage: Eukaryota; Viridiplantae; Streptophyta; Magnoliopsida; Poales; Poaceae.
ACAUCUAUGUUAAAAACGUAUCGAUCUCCCCCUGAAUCAGUUUUUUCGCGUGAUGAGUUUGAUAAGAUGAUUCAUGAGAUUUUUAAGAACCUUAUAAUCGACAAAUCUAACAAACUCUUGUACAGCAUAAAAAAAAAGUGGAAAAGAAAUCUGAUUUUUCUAUUUAUCCUCCUGAUGCUUUUGUUAGUAGAUCGGCCCUGGUUGCUAGCCAAAUCAAUAUGGGAUGUCAUUUAGUUGUUUUGGGAGAUAAAGCUAUGCAUCGGCUAGCCAAUGUAAUAUAUACCCACUUAGAAUUAAAAAGAAGUCAAAGCUUCACAAGAAAUUUCAAAAAGCUGCAAAAAAGUCCACUUCAAUUAAAUUAAGUUCACUAUUAAAUGUUCCAAUGAAACAGCUUACCAUGAG